RNAcentral lists this unclassified non-coding RNA (534 nucleotides) under Hevea brasiliensis (rubber tree). The record is from RNAcentral. Lineage: Eukaryota; Viridiplantae; Streptophyta; Magnoliopsida; Malpighiales; Euphorbiaceae.
UAUGCAAUGGGGAGAGCUGCAAAAUCUCUUUCAAAGUUAGCAGAUACAGCUCGGGAGGAACUCCCUAGUACAAUGGCCGCAAUUAGGCUUUCAGGCAUGGAAAUCAGUGAUCUUACAUUGGAAUUAAGUGAUUUGAGCCAUGAGAUAGCUGAUGGGGUCAACAAAUCAGCUCAAGCUGUGCAAGCAGCAGAAUCUGGGAUUCGACAAAUUGGUACACUUGCUCAUCAGCAGACUAUCUCAAUGAUUCAAGAGAGAGCCAGCCUUCCUAUCAUCUCACUGCAGCCUGUAGUUGCUGGGGCUGCAAAGAAGACUUCCCGUGCUGUUGGCCAAGCCACCAAGACCUUCAUGAAUAUCAUCUCACGAGGGGAGUUUACCUCAGAAAAUGAGGAUAAUAAUGAAAUUGAAAGGUUGGACAUUUAAGAGUCACUUCUGAUUUAAAUGAUUACUUGUGUACAUAAGUAAUCAUUUGCUGCUACUGCUACUGCUAUACGGAUAUUGUAAAUGCUUUUGGUAAUCUACAAAUUUUUGUCCCAG